This 1434-nucleotide ribosomal RNA is filed under the name uncultured organism. RNAcentral describes it as "16S ribosomal RNA". It matches the Rfam family "Bacterial small subunit ribosomal RNA". The record is from RNAcentral.
CAGGCUUAACACAUGCAAGUCGAGGGGCAGCAUGGUCUUAGCUUGCUAAGGCCGAUGGCGACCGGCGCACGGGUGAGUAACACGUAUCCAACCUGCCGUCUACUCUUGGACAGCCUUCUGAAAGGAAGAUUAAUACAAGAUGGCAUCAUGAGUCCGCAUGUUCACAUGAUUAAAGGUAUUCCGGUAGACGAUGGGGAUGCGUUCCAUUAGAUAGUAGGCGGGGUAACGGCCCACCUAGUCUUCGAUGGAUAGGGGUUCUGAGAGGAAGGUCCCCCACAUUGGAACUGAGACACGGUCCAAACUCCUACGGGAGGCAGCAGUGAGGAAUAUUGGUCAAUGGGCGAGAGCCUGAACCAGCCAAGUAGCGUGAAGGAUGACUGCCCUAUGGGUUGUAAACUUCUUUUAUAAAGGAAUAAAGUCGGGUAUGGAUACCCGUUUGCAUGUACUUUAUGAAUAAGGAUCGGCUAACUCCGUGCCAGCAGCCGCGGUAAUACGGAGGAUCCGAGCGUUAUCCGGAUUUAUUGGGUUUAAAGGGAGCGUAGAUGGAUGUUUAAGUCAGUUGUGAAAGUUUGCGGCUCAACCGUAAAAUUGCAGUUGAUACUGGAUAUCUUGAGUGCAGUUGAGGCAGGCGGAAUUCGUGGUGUAGCGGUGAAAUGCUUAGAUAUCACGAAGAACUCCGAUUGCGAAGGCAGCCUGCUAAGCUGCAACUGACAUUGAGGCUCGAAAGUGUGGGUAUCAAACAGGAUUAGAUACCCUGGUAGUCCACACGGUAAACGAUGAAUACUCGCUGUUUGCGAUAUACAGCAAGCGGCCAAGCGAAAGCGUUAAGUAUUCCACCUGGGGAGUACGCCGGCAACGGUGAAACUCAAAGGAAUUGACGGGGGCCCGCACAAGCGGAGGAACAUGUGGUUUAAUUCGAUGAUACGCGAGGAACCUUACCCGGGCUUAAAUUGCAGAUGAAUUACGGUGAAAGCCGUAAGCCGCAAGGCAUCUGUGAAGGUGCUGCAUGGUUGUCGUCAGCUCGUGCCGUGAGGUGUCGGCUUAAGUGCCAUAACGAGCGCAACCCUUGUUGUCAGUUACUAACAGGUUCCGCUGAGGACUCUGACAAGACUGCCAUCGUAAGAUGUGAGGAAGGCGGGGAUGACGUCAAAUCAGCACGGCCCUUACGUCCGGGGCUACACACGUGUUACAAUGGGGGGUACAGAGGGCCGCUACCACGCGAGUGGAUGCCAAUCCCCAAAACCUCUCUCAGUUCGGACUGGAGUCUGCAACCCGACUCCACGAAGCUGGAUUCGCUAGUAAUCGCGCAUCAGCCACGGCGCGGUGAAUACGUUCCCGGGCCUUGUACACACCGCCCGUCAAGCCAUGGGAGCCGGGGGUACCUGAAGUGCGUAACCGCGAGGAGCGCCCUAGGGUAAAACUGGUGACUGGGGC